UUAUCUCGUAUGCACUCUGUAGGGCAGCUCUUAUUAAACCAGCGCUGCGCUGUGUGAGAAAUCAAAGCGCAGGCGUCGAGUCGGGAGGGAGCCUAUCUUGCGCAGGCUGGAUACUGUACGUGGCCAUUGAUGCUGCUGGAUAGAUGUAGCCCCGAUGUAAAUAAGAAUGGCGAGGGCAGCGGGUCUGACACGCCGAGUUAUCGCUGCUUGACAUCGGAACGUCACACCAUCGGGAUUUUAUUUAAGAAGAAAGAAAGAAAAACGCGGGGUCCGGUUUUUUCAUCUGAAUUUGUCUUGAUGGUUUUCAUUUGACACAAAGCAGACGGGCGGCGUCUUCUAAUAAACACGGGAAAAACGGGUCAUUAUGACCUUAGUAUCCUCCAGUAAAAGAAAACCAUCAGAUUGUUUUUACGCGGCAGCAUUCUGCUUGCAUUUUUUUUGCUUUGGAUUUCGUGUGCCGUGUCCGGAGAGGGGGAUCAUCAGUUCAGCGUUGAGCUGGAUGCAAAAGCCACGCUGCGGAGUUCCGGACAAAUUCAGAAGCGCUUCAAGGUCACGGAGGCGGAGAUGCGCUCUGACGGGACAGAAGUGGCAGCGAACACACAUAACCUACACAUGAUAGAUGGCUGAGGCAUGUUGUCAUAGGGAGGUUAGGAUUCAGAUCUGCUAGUGUUAAUUGCCUCACCUCUUCCCUGUCUCUCAUCUCCUCCUCUUUCUUCCUUCUGUAUCUGUAGCCAAGCUGUUUACCUCCAAGUUUUUAUUAGCAGCGAGCCACAGACCAAAUUCUAGUUAAUUGAAACGAUAUUUUAUUGCAUACCAUCACUAUAAGAACACUGGAAAGGGCAUGUCGUAUUGUGUUGGUAUGUAUGCCAGUGAGUCCAAACCACAACUAAACCCAUAAAGAAACAGACAUGCAGUUGACAGGCGACACAAGAAAGGACAAAUGAAAACACACAACUAUUUAUACUAGGACCACACUGAGGGGUUAACAUGGUAAAACUAAUAGCACUACAUGAGUUACAACAGACUAUCAAAAUACAACAGGAAGUUACUCAAGAAACAGCAACAAGUACGUAAUACGCUUAAGCUCGACACAGAAGGACACAAAGGACAGAAAGAGAGAUUUUAGAAAAUAAACCAUAAGCAGAAUACUAAUGGGAACAAACAGGAAUUGAAACAAAGCAUUAGGCCACAAGAUACUAAGGAAUGUAAAAAUCAAACAAAUAAACUAAGAAUAAAAUAGAACAUCAAAUAAUGAACAAGAAUUAAAAGUCCCCCCCCCCCCCCCAAAAGGAGUCUGGCAACAAGACCCUCCACAAUGGCAGGGCAAGCUUUACAGUAGUUAUCUGUUUUUUACUGUAACAGGCGACAGUGAGGUUGUUUUCCUUUCUGUAUGGUAGGAGAACGAGUGCAGGUGUAGCAGAUUUCAAACGGUUGACUGCGUUGUGACGACAGACACAGACUGGCUGGAAACUGGAUUUAUUUCUAAAAGACAAAGUGCAGCAGCAAAAUCAGUGUCACACAGCAACAGCAGGUCUCUCCUCAUCCCAGUGUGGAGUCCAUGGAGCUCUGGCUCACAAUAUAUAAAAGAAAAUACAAUCUAUCAAAACAAUGGUGUGGUUUCCCUCAACAGCCACUUUAAAAUCAAAUGUUAUAGUGGGGUAAAACAGAGAGAAAUAUGAAGCAAGGUUUAGUCAAAAAUAAGCCACUAAUAAUAACUUGUAAUAUUUAAAUCCCCACUAAGAUGGAUCAAUUACACAAUACAUAUUCAAACAACUGUAACUUUUCCCAACAUGGCUGAAAAUAUUAUUCAGUGUGCAGCCUCAGAUCAUGAACUCAUACACAUAAACCAAAACCUAUACAUAUACACAUACCUAAAAGACAAAGUGCAGCAGCAAAGUCAGUGUCACACAGCAACAGCAGGCCUCUGCUCAUCCCUGUUUAGCACAAGUAAGGAACACAUAAACGGAUGGUGUAACAGAUAAAAGGCAGUUCCAAUUACUAUUUUCCUCGUUCAAAGUAAUCAAAAACACUUUGGGGGCCUUUAGCCAUAAGAACUAAUACUUAGUGAAGAAAAAUACACCAAAUUUAAACGUGUAAUUUAAUACAGGGAGAGGAGCUACAGAGAGUGUGCCUCACCAGUGUGGAGUCCAUGCAGCUCUGGCUGGGAACCCACACACAUGCAGCAUGUUUACAAGUGGCGUCACACUGAUUAAUGCCCCACUUCAACAGUGACAUGUGGAACCUUAGUUUUACAAAAAUUAAAUUUACACAAUAAAAAAAA
This is a long non-coding RNA of Oreochromis aureus, 2281 nucleotides long. RefSeq lists it as uncharacterized. The transcript has 2 exons. Lineage: Eukaryota; Metazoa; Chordata; Actinopteri; Cichliformes; Cichlidae. The record is from RefSeq and is a predicted model, not a curated record.